This 460-nucleotide ribosomal RNA is filed under the name uncultured bacterium. Its description in RNAcentral is "partial 16S ribosomal RNA". It matches the Rfam family "Bacterial small subunit ribosomal RNA", at positions 338 to 795 of the family's 1533-position model. The record is from RNAcentral.
CCUACGGGAGGCAGCAGUGAGGAAUAUUGGUCAAUGGACGCAAGUCUGAACCAGCCAUGCCGCGUGCAGGAAGACGGCUCUAUGAGUUGUAAACUGCUUUUUUACGAGGGUAAACGCAGAUACGCGUGUCUGUAUAAAAGUAUCCUACGAAUAAGGCUCGGCUAACUCUGUGACAGCAGCCGCGGUAAUACUGAGGAUUCAAGCGUUAUCCGGAUUUAUUGGGUUUAAAGGGUGCGUAGGCGGUCGGAUAAGUUAGAGGUGAAAUCCAGAGGCUCAACUUCGGAAUUGCAUGUGAUACUGUUCGGCUAGAGAGUAGUUGCGGUAGGCGGAAUGUAUGGUGUAGCGGUGGAAUGCUUAGAGAUCGUACAGAACACCGAUUGCGAAGGCAGCUUACCAAGCUACUUCUGACGUUGAGGCACGAAAGCGUGGGGAGCAAACAGGAUUAGAUACCCCUGUAGUC